UCCGAGAUCGUCUAAUGGUAGGACAUGGGCCUUUGAAGCCCAGUAUCUUGGUUCGAAUCCAAGUCUCGGAGCCU
RNAcentral lists this transfer RNA (74 nucleotides) under Candidatus Berkelbacteria bacterium RIFCSPHIGHO2_12_FULL_36_9. RNAcentral's name for it is "tRNA-Gln". It matches the Rfam family "tRNA". From Rfam's summary of the family: Transfer RNA (tRNA) molecules are approximately 80 nucleotides in length. Their secondary structure includes four short double-helical elements and three loops (D, anti-codon, and T loops). Further hydrogen bonds mediate the characteristic L-shaped molecular structure. tRNAs have two regions of fundamental functional importance: the anti-codon, which is responsible for specific mRNA codon recognition, and the 3' end, to which the tRNAs corresponding amino acid is attached (by aminoacyl-tRNA synthetases). tRNAs cope with the degeneracy of the genetic code in two manners: having more than one tRNA (with a specific anti-codon) for a particular amino acid; and 'wobble' base-pairing, i.e. permitting non-standard base-pairing at the 3rd anti-codon position. Lineage: Bacteria; Candidatus Berkelbacteria. The record is from RNAcentral.